RNAcentral lists this non-coding RNA (148 nucleotides) under Nomascus leucogenys (northern white-cheeked gibbon). The record is from Rfam by way of RNAcentral. Lineage: Eukaryota; Metazoa; Chordata; Mammalia; Primates; Hylobatidae.
GCCGGGCAUGGUGGCACGCGCCUGUAGUCCCAGCUACUCGGGAGGCUGAGGCAGGAGAAUCGCUUGAACCCGGAAGGCUGGGGGUGCAGUGAGCCGAGAUCGCGCCACUGCACUCCAGCCUGGGCGACAGAGCGAGACUCUGUCUCAA